Molecule: long non-coding RNA, 277 nt
Filed under: Prunus persica (peach)
Lineage: Eukaryota; Viridiplantae; Streptophyta; Magnoliopsida; Rosales; Rosaceae
Description: long non-coding RNA (PPER_LNC007734)
Source: RNAcentral
AAAAAUUAAUAAUAAGAUAAAGACAUUACAAUUAUUUAAAAGAAAAUGAGAAACUGGCCAAUAUAAGAAAAAUCCAUUUAAAAAAUUAAAGAGAGCUAUUAAAUAUAAGAAUGUUACCUCUUCCUCAUUAUUAUCAACUUCUUCAUCUUGAACGGUAAGUCUUCUAGCUUCGUUCUCAUUAGGGCUUGAAGCUAACAGUAUAUAAAUAAAAAAAAUUAUUAGAAAACAAAAAUAAAAUGUUUUACUUAAUAUGAAAAAUAUAAGCACAAAAAUAUUU